Lolium rigidum is the source of this 162-nucleotide long non-coding RNA. RefSeq lists it as uncharacterized. NCBI's taxonomy places the organism in Eukaryota, Viridiplantae, Streptophyta, Magnoliopsida, Poales, Poaceae. The transcript has 3 exons. The record is from RefSeq and is a predicted model, not a curated record.
AUAUCAUACCAUAAGAAACAAAUCAAGACCCAAGAACAAAUAUUCACCUUAUCGACACAAGAUUGUGGGCAAUCAUGGAUAUGAGAUACAAUUGAUGUUUAGUAAUAUUCACUUCAUGUUGCCUCCAUAACACAAAGUUCAGCAAAGAAAAAAAUUUGAAGG